GUUCGCGAUUAAGUCCUGCCAAAAAUUCAUAAACUCUUUCAUUUUCAACUCUCUUUUUAUACCGAGUAUAGUCAUCGGCGCACCUCUAGUCUUCAUCACUACUGAGAUCAAGUUCUUGCCACAGGGAUGUCAUCUCCAUAAAGUAGUCCGUCAUAUCUCUUUCACCUUGCCUCGCCUGCCAUAAUCAAGUCUUGAUUUCGAAGAUGUGUGAAGCAUUUUCGGAAUCAGUAUAAGUCUAUCUCAUGGCGUCCCAAACUUCCUUUGCAGUUGGAAGAAAUAAGUAAGUCUUCCCUAUGGUGGGUUUCAUGGAAUUGACUAGCCAC
Molecule: long non-coding RNA, 323 nt
Filed under: Olea europaea (common olive)
Lineage: Eukaryota; Viridiplantae; Streptophyta; Magnoliopsida; Lamiales; Oleaceae
Description: long non-coding RNA (OEUR_LNC009426)
Source: RNAcentral